Molecule: ribosomal RNA, 465 nt
Filed under: uncultured Rhizobacter sp.
Lineage: Bacteria; Pseudomonadati; Pseudomonadota; Betaproteobacteria; Burkholderiales; Sphaerotilaceae
Description: partial 16S ribosomal RNA
Source: RNAcentral
GACUACUGGGGUAUCUAAUCCUGUUUGCUCCCCACGCUUUCGUGCAUGAGCGUCAGUACAGGUCCAGGGGAUUGCCUUCGCCAUCGGUGUUCCUCCGCAUAUCUACGCAUUUCACUGCUACACGCGGAAUUCCAUCCCCCUCUACCGUACUCUAGCCAUGCAGUCACAAAUGCAGUUCCCAGGUUGAGCCCGGGGAUUUCACAUCUGUCUUGCAAAGCCGCCUGCGCACGCUUUACGCCCAGUAAUUCCGAUUAACGCUUGCACCCUACGUAUUACCGCGGCUGCUGGCACGUAGUUAGCCGGUGCUUAUUCUUCAGGUACCGUCAUUAGUUCAACGUAUUAAGUCAAACCGUUUCUUCCCUGACAAAAGUGGUUUACAACCCGAAGGCCUUCUUCCCACACGCGGCAUGGCUGGAUCAGGCUUGCGCCCAUUGUCCAAAAUUCCCCACUGCAGCCCCCCGUAGG